RNAcentral lists this ribosomal RNA (465 nucleotides) under uncultured bacterium. Its description in RNAcentral is "partial 16S ribosomal RNA". It matches the Rfam family "Bacterial small subunit ribosomal RNA", at positions 28 to 507 of the family's 1533-position model. The record is from RNAcentral.
GACGAACGCUGGCGGCGUGCUUAACACAUGCCAGUCGAACGGAAAGGCCCCUUUGGUGGUACUCGAGUGGCGAACGGGUGAGUAACACGUGAGUAACCUGCCCUUGACUUCGGGAUAACUUCAGGUAACUGGGGCUAAUACCGGAUAGGAAUCCUUGCUGCAUGGUGGGGGUUGGAAAGCUUCGGCGGUUUUGGAUGGACUGGCUGCUUAUCAGCUUGUUGGUGGGGUAGUGGCUUACCAAGGCUUUGACGGGUAGCCGGACUGCGAGGGCGACCGGCCACAAUGGGAAUGAGAGACGGCCCAGACUCCUACGGGAGGCAGCAGUGGGGAAUAUUGCACAAUGGGCGGAAGCCUGAUGCAGCAACGCCGCGGGCGGGAUGACGGCCUUCGGGUUGUAAACCGCGUUCAGCAGGGGCGAAGCUUGUGGUGACGGUACCUGCAGAAGAAGCACCGGCUAACUACGUG